GAAUGUGAGGGUGACCCUGCUGUGAAUUCAGCACCCCAAGAUUGCCAGCGUUGAUUCGACUGAUCUGGCCGGAUAGGGGGAGUCCCCUCCCUCCCUCACACUCUUGUGCGUCCCUCAAAAGCUGCGUGCUGGGUCAAAGAGGACGGCCUUCCCCGAAUAGAGAUGGACCAGUCUUCCUUUGAGGGUGUCCCAGUAUCUGCGCUCCCUGCUAUCCAAACAAGCUCUCAAGGUCCAAGAUACUGCAGAGAAGAUGAAUUCACCGUUCUUAAUAGCUGAGUAGUAUUCCACUGUGUAU
RNAcentral lists this small nuclear RNA (295 nucleotides) under Erinaceus europaeus (western European hedgehog). Its description in RNAcentral is "7SK RNA (ENSEEUG00000020636.1)". It matches the Rfam family "7SK RNA". From Rfam's summary of the family: 7SK was discovered as an abundant small nuclear RNA in the mid-70s but a possible function has only recently been suggested. Two independent studies have found that 7SK RNA binds the CDK9/cyclin T complex (known as elongation factor P-TEFb). P-TEFb activates transcription by phosphorylating the C-terminal domain of RNA polymerase II. Lineage: Eukaryota; Metazoa; Chordata; Mammalia; Eulipotyphla; Erinaceidae. The record is from RNAcentral.